Molecule: long non-coding RNA, 475 nt
Filed under: Chrysolophus pictus (golden pheasant)
Lineage: Eukaryota; Metazoa; Chordata; Aves; Galliformes; Phasianidae
Description: lncRNA (ENSCPIG00010013135.1)
Source: RNAcentral
GCUAAAUAUACUUCUCAAAAUAUUUUUUCUGCACACAAGAGUCCUUGCUACUGUGCCUGCUGUAUAUCAUACUAUGGAGUUUGGCUCCAUCUCCCACAGCACACACAAGUGACCAGCCUGCAACAUGAAGAAAAGCACAGAUUGUUGGAAACGAAAUUCUCAUCAAGGAAAACCUGCAGCAACAGGAAGGAGAAUGCAAAAAUGAAACUUGCCAUUCUGAAAAACGUUUUUUCCACACACAGUUUAAAAAUGGCUCAGCAGUAUCUAAAGCUGGCUGUGUCUGUGUAUCGAACACCUGCUGAGGAACAGUGAGUCAGUUUUGAAACUUCAGACCUUUGCAGUUCAGCCUGUUACUGAGCUGUGUUUAUUUUUCUACUCUGAAAAAGUGAGUAUCUUAGAAAUUAAAAGCUGUGACCUGAGCCAGGUAAACUGACAGAGAAAUAAACCUAUAAUAAUAGGCUAAGAGAUCCCUAGA